Molecule: non-coding RNA, 74 nt
Organism: Seminavis robusta
Lineage: Eukaryota; Bacillariophyta; Bacillariophyceae; Naviculales; Naviculaceae
Source: the annotation of a GenBank genome assembly
GGUACCGGUAGCUCAGAAGACAGAGUAUCAGAUUUCUAAUCUGAAAGUUACGAGUUCAAGUCUCGUCCAUAUCU